UGGCCGCCGGGUCGACCUCGCGGGUCACUACCAAGUAUUCGCGCAGCGCGAUGGCGUGCAGGUGCUC
This 67-nucleotide small RNA is filed under the name Mycobacterium haemophilum. RNAcentral describes it as "ASdes TB sRNA". It matches the Rfam family "ASdes TB sRNA". Lineage: Bacteria; Bacillati; Actinomycetota; Actinomycetes; Mycobacteriales; Mycobacteriaceae. The record is from Rfam by way of RNAcentral.